This 569-nucleotide ribosomal RNA is filed under the name uncultured bacterium. RNAcentral describes it as "partial 16S ribosomal RNA". It matches the Rfam family "Bacterial small subunit ribosomal RNA", at positions 355 to 918 of the family's 1533-position model. The record is from RNAcentral.
UGGGGAAUUUUGGACAAUGGGCGAAAGCCUGAUCCAGCAAUGCCGCGUGUGUGAAGAAGGCCUUCGGGUUGUAAAGCACUUUUGUCCGGAAAGAAAUCCUCUGGGUUAAUACCUCGGGGGGAUGACGGUACCGGAAGAAUAAGCACCGGCUAACUACGUGCCAGCAGCCGCGGUAAUACGUAGGGUGCAAGCGUUAAUCGGAAUUACUGGGCGUAAAGCGUGCGCAGGCGGUUUUGUAAGGCGGAUGUGAAAUCCCCGGGCUUAACCUGGGAACUGCAUUCGUGACUGCAAGGCUAGAGUAUGGCAGAGGGGGGUAGAAUUCCACGUGUAGCAGUGAAAUGCGUAGAGAUGUGGAGGAAUACCGAUGGCGAAGGCAGCCCCCUGGGCCAAUACUGACGCUCAUGCACGAAAGCGUGGGGAGCAAACAGGAUUAGAUACCCUGGUAGUCCACGCCCUAAACGAUGUCAACUAGUUGUUGGGGAUUCAUUUCCUAGUAACGUAGCUAACGCGUGAAGUUGACCGCCUGGGGAGUACGGUCGCAAGAUUAAAACUCAAAUGAAUUGACGGGG